Molecule: ribosomal RNA, 482 nt
Filed under: uncultured bacterium
Lineage: Bacteria
Description: partial 16S ribosomal RNA
Rfam family: Bacterial small subunit ribosomal RNA
Source: RNAcentral
ACGAACGCUGGCGGCGUGCUUAACACAUGCAAGUCGAACGCUGAAGCUCAGCUUUUGUUGGGUGGAUGAGUGGCGAACGGGUGAGUAACACGUGAGUAACCUGCCCCCUUCUUUGGGAUAACGCCCGGAAACGGGUGCUAAUACUGGAUAUUCACUGGUCUUCGCAUGGGGGUUGGUGGAAAGGGUUUUUCUGGUGGGGGAUGGGCUCGCGGCCUAUCAGCUUGUUGGUGGGGUGAUGGCCUACCAAGGCUUUGACGGGUAGCCGGCCUGAGAGGGUGACCGGUCACAUUGGGACUGAGAUACGGCCCAGACUCCUACGGGAGGCAGCAGUGGGGAAUAAGGCACAAUGGGCGCAAGCCUGAUGCAGCGACGCCGCGUGAGGGAUGGAGGCCUUCGGGUUGUGAACCUCUUUCGCUCAUGGUCAAGCCGCAACAAUGGUUGUGGUGAGGGUAGUGGGUAAAGAAGCGCCGGCUAACUACGUG